RNAcentral lists this long non-coding RNA (218 nucleotides) under Lathyrus oleraceus (garden pea). Its description in RNAcentral is "Pisum sativum (pea) long non-coding RNA (PSAT_LNC004760)". Lineage: Eukaryota; Viridiplantae; Streptophyta; Magnoliopsida; Fabales; Fabaceae. The record is from RNAcentral.
AGAGAAUCGGUAAGUGCCGCAAUUCUUGAAAAACCGAGCACGCAUUGAAAAAAAAAAUAAUAAUAAAAAAAUUAGAAAAGACAAACAUCUGUUUUGUGAAUACGAUGUGAAAAGAAAAGAAAAAAAUAGAGAAAAUAAAAAUGAAUGUUUGCUUGGAAGAAAAAUAGUGAAAAACAAAAAUUGAGUUGUGAAGGUUUCAAAUGAGAAACAAAUGGAAC